CUACAAAGACCACAUUGUCACUAGGUCUGUAGAAGAGGUAACCAAAGGAUCGCUGUGGGUAACCGAUGAAAAUACACCUCUCGCUUCGAGGUUCGAGCUUAUCAUGAGUCUCGCGUCUCACGAAAGCCUCGCAACCCCAAAUCUUGAUGUGGUCUAGUUUAGGUACUUUACCAGUCCACAUCUCGUGAGGAGUUUUGGCAACUUUCUUUGUAGGGACAAGAUUAAGAAUAUGGGCGGCAGUCUCUAAGGCAUACCCCCAGAAUGAGAUUGGUAGCAUUGCUCGACUCAUCAUGGAACGAACCAUAUCCAACAAGGUUCGAUUACGCCUUUCAGCUACACCAUUCAACUGUGGUGUCCUGGGAGGUGUCAAUUGUGAGACAAUCCCACAUUCCAUAUCCGUAGAUACCCGAACCGAGCCGUAUGAAAUUAUAUAUAUAUAUAUAUAACUGGUAGGUAUGUCUUAUAUUAGUUCAUUAAAUUAAUUUUUUUUUUAUUUUAGUACUGCAUAUAUAACAGGUAGGUAUGUCUUAUAUCAUGAUUUAUUAGUUGUGGUUAUUAAUGGAACAUUGAAGAAUAAACUUAGUAUUUGAGCAAAUUAGACUCUUAAUACAUACCCUGUACGUUAUCGAUGUAUGGUAUCUUAUUUAUGUCUAUGUAUCAAAUUUAUCAAUUUUUUGGUAAUGUAAGGUAUUAGAACUCCAAUAAAAUUUGAUUUUUUUAGCGGGUAACCGUGAAUCGAACCGUGGUUAUCCGUCUUUAUACAGUUCGGUUCGGUUUUUUACACAAUUCGGUUCGGUUAUGGAUAAUGCAUGUAAGGUACCUAUCCGGUGGUCACGGUUCAUAAUUUUAUUAUUAUCCUAUCUGAAACGCCCUAUGAAAACCCCAGAAAAAUAGUCAUUACAACACUAUUUGAAUAUAAAAGAUUGACCAAAUUUUCUUAGUAUCGUAUUAUUUUUUCUGUUUAUUAAAAUAUAUAUAGUUAUUUAAUAUUAAUGUUACUAAAAAGCCUAAUAUGGUUACAAUCCAAAUUACGUUUAUAUUAGGUAUUGUAUUUCUAAAAGUUAUGUACUUAUGGUGAAAGAAAUGUUUGAAUGUUUGUAAAAAGAAGUAUGAAAAUUUUCUUUCACAAUAAGCCACAUAAUUUUUAGAAAUACAUAUCCAUAAUUUUUAGAAAUACAAUACAAAUAUCCAUAAUUUUUAGAAAUAUGCAAGAAAAUAGAUAUAACCUGACUAUAGAUAUAACCUAACAUCUCUUUAGUAUUUCUUAUUCUACAAUUAUAAUAUUAAUAAAUUAUAAACAUUCUACAAUUAUGAUAACAACUAAAAUUGUGAUUCAAAUUAAGAAAAAUCAGAUUCUAUAUUGUAUAAACUAGGUGUAAGAUUUAUAUAUUAAAUAUGUUAAUUAAAAAAGUUAAAUAUAAAAGUCUAAAUAUUUAAAAAGUUUGGAUUUAUAAAAAAAUAAGAAAAAUAAUAAUUUAUUAAAAUUGAUUUUUUUAUCUUUUAAAUUUAAAUAAAUAAACAAGAAAAACUAAUGAACUUUAAUUUGAAAAUUUUGAAAUAAAAAAGUAAAUCCAUUAAAUAAAUUGAUAUGAAUUUAUUACUAUAUUUAUUAUAAUUAUUACAUUAAAGUAAAGUAUUAUGAUGAAUUUAAUAAAAUAGAAAACUCAUAUAAUGACAUACAGAAAAGAUAAUAAAUUCAAAAUAACUUUCACAAAUUGAAUGAGAGUAACAUAUGACAAAAAAAACAUUUAUUUAUUAGAGAAGAUUGUGUGUACCUUAUAUACAAUUUUCCAAGAGUUGUUAAUUAUCAAUAUCAAAAAAUAAGAAAUACUAAAGAGAUGUUAGGUUAUAUCUAUAGUUUUGUACUCUUGUAUAUUGAUUUUGUUUCCUCUAAAAGGUUCACCGAUAUAUCCAAUCGCAUAAUCACAAACAUCGAGAAAGAAACAGCAGGAAAUUGUUUUUUUUUUGAAAGUUUGAAGUAAGAAUUGCCGAAACGCAACCAUCGGUAUAAAUUCAUUAAUUUUCCCACAAACUUGCUUUAUAGUCUUUUUUUCAUAUUUGUUUAAAAUAAGUAUAGACAUUUAUUGAAAUUGAUUAAUCUAUCUUUUGUUUAAUUAUUAUAAAGUCUAAUAAUAGCUGAAUAUGACACAAAAAUAAUAAUCAUAUAUAACUGAAUCUUUAUUCAACAAAAAUAGAUAUAAAAUUACAUUAAAAGGUGAAAAAAAUAAUCCAACCUUGAAACAUAAAAUUACUCUUAAGUUGGUUUCAAUAAGACAAAUAUAUAUAACAACUCAUAUUCUUUAUCUUUUAGAAAAUUUUCUAUCAACCAAUAGUCAGAUGAAAUAUUUUUAUAGAUCUGAGAGUAAAUUUAUUUUCAGUUCAUUUCUUUGAAUUGUGUUUUGUAUCUUUAUCAUAUUUUGAUUUAUUUAUAAAAUAUAAUGUGUAUUUAUUAUUAUACACAUUAAAUUACAAUAUAAGAAUAUGACUACUAUAAUUAAAACAAGUAAAAUCUAAGUGUAAAAUAAUCAAAAACUGAUCAGCCUUGUAAAAGAUGUAUAACACCCUAGAUAUCCACACAUUUGAAAAAAAAAAAUCAUAUACACGCUAAAAAAUCUAGACAAAAAAAUUUGUAAAACAACCAAAAUAAUAGAAAUAACAAAGUUUAUAACAAAUUUGAACCCCCGUUAUCUCACGCUCUCCUCAUCUUGAUUUCUGUAUGUCGUUCGCUUUUUAUCAGAUUUAAAAGAGAUAAAAAUGAAGAUAAACUCAUAUUAAAACAUAUUACACAGAUCCGGAAACACAUAUGGUUCCCACGGUAGAAGCUAACAUCAACAUAUUUAGGACCAAAAAGAACACAGAUACACACAUCUAAUACAAACAUAAUUUUACCAGAUUUGAUAGCUUACUCUUGAGGAACAAUUGUUUACCAAGUCUUCCGCGUAGGAAGUGAUCUGGUGUGUAGAUCUAAGAAGCAAAAUCAGCAACGGUCAAGUAUCUNNNNNNNNNNNNNNNNNNNNNNNNNNNNNNNNNNNNNNNNNNNNNNNNNNNNNNNNNNNNNNNNNNNNNNNNNNNNNNNNNNNNNNNNNNNNNNNNNNNNCUUUUGGAUUUACAUAACUUAUGAGUUUAAUUAAGGUUUUAAAAGAUUUAAUGAAUAGACUCUUGAACAUCCAUCACUUGAGGACAAGUUAUGAAGUCCACAAAACUAUUUAUGAGAAAAAACUCUUCAAUUAUAUAACAUAUGGCUUUUCAAUGGAUCUUUAAAAGAAAUGACUUUUGGUAAUCCAUAACUUGAGGACAAAUUAUGGACUCCAUUAGAAAAUGCAUUUAGAUCAAGAAUUAACUAACAACAAUGUGCAAAUAAUUCCUAUGAUCUACUAAAAUUCAUAAGUGUAUGAACAAUCACAUCAACAAUUUAAAGAAUCAUAUGAACACAUAUAAAACUUGAAAUUUUGAUAAUAACUUUUAAAUUGGUUUACCAUAAUCAUUACCACAUCAAAAACAGGUUUUAUAAGUCCAAAAUAGUUUAAGGUAAUGAUUCUAGACCAAUUCCAUCCUUAAAAGUCGAAAAUAUGUUGUCUGGGGGUCCUACUCGUCGAGUGUAUGAACCUACUCGACGAGUAGGAUGAAUUUCUUCAUGGAAUCAACGAGUUCAUCAGUGGACUCUGUGAGUCUAGUGCCCAGAAAGCCAGAAUUUUCGAUUUUUAAGCUAUUUCAGCAAGUAUAAGUUGAAAACAAGCCUUGACUCUAAUACCACUCUUGGGUUUUGAGCAUUCUAACACUCCUAUGGUGUACAUGCAACCCUAUAAACCUUGGAUCUAUGUUUUUCUCUGUUAUACAUGCAAAUAUUCAAUAUUCCAAGGUUUCAUCCUAACUAGCAUAAUAUAAAGUAUAUACAAUACAAGAAUCUAGAAGAAUAACAUACCUCUUUGUUGUAGCUUGAUUCCAUGGAGCUUAAGAGCCUAGUUCCCCAAGUGUGACACCUCAAAUGGUUCACACAACAUCACCAACAUUUUGGAAUAACUUGAGAGAAAAGGUUCUUAUGCUCAAAUCGGCUAGCCCUCUUGUGUACACACACUAGUGCCAAUUUUGUGAACCAAGGACCCCUUUAUAUAUUAUGGAGGAUUAGGGUUACAUCCAUGUAAACCCUAAUACCCAUGACCUUUCAUUUACAUAGGAUCCAUGGGUUAAAAGCUCCAUGGACUUCCAUACACUCUUAGCCCAUCCUAAAUAAACCUUAGCCCAUUCGAUAUAUAUUUAAGUUUCCAUAUUUAAUUAGUCUCUUUUGAUCACUAAAUUAAUUCCAAAAUCAAUUCUUGAUCAACACUACUUAAAUAAUAUGAUUUCAUAUUAAAAUAUUAUAACUUAUAAUAUAUUAAUAGAUCAUAAACAUGUUAUUCUCAAAAGUAUAUCCAUACAAAUUGUUAGGUGAAGUGCAAACCAAAUGGACAAUGCCGGGUCGGGUCAAGUUCAUACCAAAUAUAGUUAUGGACUUAGACACCUUAUCCAACNAUAUAUAUAUAUAUAUAUAUAUAUAUAUAUAUAUAUAUAUAUAAGUCCAUAUUUAAUUAGCCUCUUUUGAUCACUAAAUUAAUUCCAAAUUAAUUUUUGAUCAAUACUAAUUAAAUAAUAUGAUUUCAUAUUAAUAUAUUAGAACUUAUAAUAUAUUAAUAUAAAUCAUAAAUAUCCUCUUCUCACAAAAAGUCUAUCCAAAUGUUCUGAUGCCAUGUAGCCCAAAUGGACCAUGUUAAAUCGGGUCAAGUACAUACCAAUUAUAAUUAUGGACUUAGACACUAAUCCAACAACAAAUGAUAGGGUUUCAUCCAUGCAAACCCUAACGCAACAUGACCUUUCAUAUUACUUAGGCUCCAUGGGUUAAACCUCCUUGGACUAUCCAUGGACUAUCUCAUUGGUUUAGCACAUCCUAAUUAACCAUGGAUCAUUGGCCCGCACUAUAAGAAUCAUUGAUUUACUUAAUCAGUCCCCGUAUAUUUAAUUAGUCUCUUUUGAUCUCUAAAUUAAUUCCAAAUUAAUUCUUGAUCAAUACUAAUUAAAUAAUAUGAUUUCUCAAUUAAUAUAUUAUACUUAUAAUAUAUUAAUAAAUUACAAAUAACCUUAUUCUCAAAAGUCCAUCCAAUCAAAUUACACUGGUGAAGGCAACCCAAAAGGACCAUGUUACAAUCAGGUCAAGUACAUCCUAAAUAUAGUUAUGCGCUUAGACACCUAAUCCAACACUUAUACCCUAAUAUUUUAGAUUAUAACCAGUAUUCAAAAUAGAGUAAUCUUAGAUCUCGAGCUUUUUAGUAUGAAAAACACAUGUUUGAGUAAGGAAGAGUAAAAAGAGGAGAGAGGAUCGAGGUUCAACUACAAGAGUUAAAAAAACAGUAAUGAGGUGAAAUCUUGGUCUUAAGAAGCUUACCCACAAAUGCAAUGAUAUCUCACUUCAUAUCAACCCAUUUCAUAACAUGUAUAUACACAUAUAGAAAUAUAGAGGAAGAGGGUUAGUAGUGAUGUAGGUUUGGGACAACCUUCGGUUAAAUAACUGAACACCAAAACCAAAUCAAGAAAAAAAAUAACACUCAAAAUCAUUCAAUAAAAUGAAAUUAAUAACUUAAUUUGAAGUUUAAAGACAAAACGAACAGGAGAUUGUUGAGAAUACACAGAGCACAAUCUUUGAAGAAUUCAACUUUGUUUGGGCCCUAUCACAAGAAAUCGAACCCCACGUCAAAAUUUGGAUAACAAAGAAGAUAUUGUUGAGAAGAAAACACAACAAUCAAGUAAGGUGAAAAAACGAACAAUUCAGUUGUUUCUCCGGCACAAUCUUGUAAAACUUCAAGAUUAGUUGACCUCUAGCACGGCAAAUCGAAUACAACUGCAAAAUCGUUUAUACCAGAACAAAAGUAAGGAGAUUUAGUCUGCUAAAAAUGGAACCCAUAGUGGUGCGACAUAAGUACAAAAAAAAAAAAGAAAACAGUAAGAAGAAGCUUCGACAAUUUUCUAUUUCAUAGAAAGCUUACCAGGGGAAAGAGAUCUCAAAAUCAAAAGUAAAACACGAUUGCAAAUGAGAAGGUAUACAUUACGAUUUACACCUCGUUCCCGAGUUCAAUUUAGCCAGAGAAAAUAAAGGAAAUGGAGGGAAGUGGGAAGAAAGUAGAAGAUAUAUUAGUUUUCUCGAGUUUCAGUAAACCAAGGAAGUGGAAGGAAAUGGAAUGAUUUUUUCCCUCUUAACUUUCCUUCCGAUUUGAAUGAAUUUGGAGGGAAAAAACAAAAUAUUUAAUUUUUCUCCACUGUUCUUCAACUCGGAAACACAAAAAAAAAAAUUAUUAUCCUUUCUGUUUUCUUUUUUUUCUCCUUACUUUUUUUUUUCUCUUAUUUUCUUUUCUCUGUUACAACUCGGGUGUGUUGGACAAAAGGAGAUCAAGUUUGCAAUCUGUGUGAUAGGCCCUUACUUUUAAUCCCAACGAUUCAAAUUAGAUUCAAUUGUCCAGAUCAAUUUUCUUUGUUUUUUAUGAUAACAUGUUUAAUUUUUUGUACCUUAGGCUUUAAAAUUUGUACUUAACAAAUUGAAAAAAUCAUUUUUUGUAUUUCAUAAAAAUCAUUUUUCAUACCAUGUGUUAUCUAUUGAACUUUUUAUUUCGCAUUGUGGCCAUUGAAAGUUAUUCUUUUGGCGAUUAGAUUCGUUUCAGGAAUAUGUUUUUUGUUACAACUAGUUUAUUUACGGUAAGCGGCGGUGCAAUGUUGCGGUCAUGUCGAAUACUUUUCAGUGAAUAACAUUUUACUAACAAAUAGUUUUUGUUUUGAUGAUUAGUUGUCUUUUGAAAAAAUAUAAUAAUCCAAAAAAACACAAACGUAAUUUUUUUUUUAUCAGAUGCCACGUGUAGAGUUGAACAUGAUUUUUUAGAAAGUUUUUGACGAUGGUGUGGGUGAAUGGUGAAUACGGGAAGGUGUAGUGGUGAUUGAUAGUGAUGAAUGGUGGGGUUUGUUAUUGGAGGUGGACGUUGGCAAAUAAAGGUGGGCGAUGAUACUUUGAAUAUAUUGUGUAGCUUGUAGAAAAUAAUACUAACCUCUUAAAAUGAUUUUUUUAGCAAAGUUGGUGAUAAAAAUAUGUAAAUAUAAAAAGAAUUAAAUCUUAUCACAUCGAAAAAAAAUAGUAAACCAAGUGUUUUUUUAGCACACUCUUUUUGCGGCCAUUAGAAUUGAUCGAUAGGUCACCCCAAUGAAAGAAAAACAUGAAAGUCAUGUUAGAUAAGAGAAAGACAUAAAGAUAGAAAAAGAUGACUUGUGUACAUAUUAAUUAUUCUUAUUAUGUUAUUAACCAGAAAUGUUAAACUCCCUAAUGAAAAAAAAAUUCAAGUAAGCUAAAUAAAAUAUCUGUAGUAAAAUACCAAUACUUUGGUAUAGUAUUUGAAAAAGUCUCAAAUUUAAUUUUAUUAUAUAUAUAUCAUAAAAGUUUAAAAUGUUUAGCUACAGUAACUUUUUUUCUCUUUUUUAUUUUCACACGGAAGUUCUUGGCUUUCUUAUUUUGCCACUGAAACUUCUAUUACUCAGGAGAAAGCAUAAACCGCCUUACAUUUUCUCAUCCUUAUCUUUUGUUCCUUAGAGCCGGUUGCCGCCUUCUCCUCCAAUAUUGUUCGCUUGCGUUCUUAUUAAUUUUUUUCCCUUUCUUCUAACCCUAGAACCAACGACAAUGUUCGUUGUCUCCAUUUGAUUAAUGCUUGGAGUUGCCCCUUCAAUCGAACACAAUCGCCACCGCCGUUCAGUUCACCACUUCUCCUAUUGGCCGUUGUCGGCCAACAUCAAAUAACUUUCUUUCUCUUUCUUAUUCUCACACAGAAGUUCUUGACUUUCUUAUUUUUGCCACCGAAACUUCUAUUUCUCAGGGGAAAGCUUCUCAUCCUUAUCUUUUAUUCCUUAGAGCCGGUUGCCGCCUUCUCCUCCAAUAUUGUUCGUUUGCGCUCUUAUUAAUUUUUUUUCCCUUUCUUCUAACCCUAUAAACAAUGACAGUGUUCGUUGUUUCCAUUCGAUUAACGCUUGGAGCCGCCCCUUCAAUUGAACACAAUCGCCACCGCCGUUCAGUUCACCGCGUCUGCUAUUGGCCGUUGUCGGCCAACAUCAAAUAACUUUCUUUCUCUUUCUUAUUUUCACACGGAAGUUCUUGGCUUUCUUAUUUAGGUAUGCAUUUUCCCCUUUUAUUUCUAAUAUUCAUUAUAAGGCUUCCUAGACUAAUAUCUUUAAUUUUAACACAAGAAAGAGGUAGAAAAUUUUCACAUUUGUCAUUUAUAUGAAACUUAUCUUUGUAUAUAUUGUAUAUAUGUUCAUAAUAUUACUGUGUAAGUAAACUUGUAUUCGGGGCAACUGAAUACACAACCACAAUUGAUGUCUGUUCAGUCGCUUUUGUCCUUGCCGAACUCCUUCUACGAAAGGUUCUGUUCUUUCUGUGCCUUUUUAACUAAAUCAAAAAUUAAUUUUAAUUUAAGAAAAUCAAUUGAAUUCAAACAUCAACCUUAAUGUUAAACAAAAAAAAAAUUGUUAAUGUCCGUUUUACCCCUAUUUCUAUAAACGUUAACCAAAUGUCGUUUCCAUCUUUUUAUCAUAACUACAUAUAGUUUUAAUGUUUACAGUUGAAGAAAGUCAAUGCCCAUUUUACCCAUAUUUAUAAAAAACAAUCCUUUUGUGAUUUUCUGAUUUUGGUGUUCUUUUUAACCUGCGAUGAUGUCAGUUACCAUCAUGGGAUUUUUUUAGGCAACCAAAAUCAGCUAAUCUGGUAUUAUGCACAAUUGCAAUUACCCGCACAAAGAUUUGGCUUUAGUAACUUAUAGUUGUCGUUAUAAUUAGCUGAAUGUUUUUGUAUGUGUGUGUAGAUUAUGCAUAUGGGUUACCAAUGUAAUGUUUUGUUUAAACAAUCAACAUCGGGGUUAGGAUUGAAAAUCUUAAUCUUACUUUUCAACAUAUAGAAGAUCUUUAUCUUUUUGGAGAUGUUGAUGAGCAAUGACGAAACUGCUCUUUUAUAAAUCUCAUUUUAGCAAAACGUGUCAAAUAGCAAUGUACUAUAUGAAAUGAGAAACUGUAAUUUUUAACUGUAGCUUAAUAAGAAGAUCAUGACUUUCGCUCUUUAUGCAAACAAGAAUAACACAUAAAGAUGGUUACUUUAUAACAAAAGAAAGCUAAAAGUAUAAAAAAACGUAAAGAAAAAUGAUUGAUUUUCAUAUUUUUUGUUGAUUAUAAAUAAAUCUUGAUAUGAACAUAUACUGAGGCCAGACGAACAACACCUUGAGAACGGUGAAUAUGACAUGGCAAAUUCAGUAAAGCUCCGUCUUGAGACCAGACAUAGAAUGGUAUGCUUUCUUAACCUUAACCUUUGGUUACCGGUUUUUGACAUUAAUUUAUUAUUAUUUGAUUUAAUAUUUUGUUGUAACGAAAACUACAAGAAAAUGGAUGAAAACCGCAAUGGUUUUAAAGGAGGGUGAAGACGGGACGUCUCAGUAUGUAGGUGGAUAUUUGGAAGAAUGAGAGGAUGGUAAGUGAGGGAUUGUCCGAAUAUAUUUGGUGAAUUUAGUAAUUAUUCCAUCAACACAUCCUGAUUUAUCCCAAGGUAAAUUAAUUUUAUCUUUUUUUCUUUAUAUGAUAAAUAAAAUAAAAAAAACUAAAGUUAAAAGAUUUUUUAUCAUGUUAUAAAUGCAGGGGAGAAAGGGAGGAGGUACUUUGCUGCGUUAAAGUAUUUUGCCGUAUAUGUAAUAUGUUUUCAUAAAUAUUAUAAUAUGUUGUAUCGUUUGCUACAGCUGGAAAUAAAGGGGGGGAAAAAGAAACACGACGCCAAAGGCGCAGGUAAUUCCUAUCUAGUCUAUAUCUAUCUAUCUAUAUAUACUUAUAAAUGAAGCUUUUUUUUUUCCUUCACCACAUUCAUUUGAAACUCUCAUACAUUUUUUCUUUCACCACAUUCAUUUGAAACUCCCAUAACUUUUCAAUUUCUUUCUAAUAAUAAUUAUAAGUUCGUUAAUAAGGUUAAAUAAAUAUCAAACCUAAAAUAUAAUGAUAUAUAAACUAAAUUUACAUAUUAAAAUAAUAUCUUUACUUCUACUUAUAAAGUUAUGUUAUUUUACUUUUAACAUAUUAUACUUAAUUUAUUUGUUUUAGUAUAUUGUUGGAUGUAAAUAAUUAUCAUUUUAAAGAUACAAUUUUGGAGCAAUUUGUAUAAAAUACUUAAAUUAUUAGUUUAAAUAUAACAUUACAUGGUCAACUUAAAUAUAAAUUUUUGUUUAACUUAAACAAUACAAAUUUUUUUUGUAAAUAAUUAAAAGUGAUAAAUUGUAGUGUUUUUCUAGUAACGAUUAUAAAUUGGUUAAUAAAGUUAAACAAAUAUCAAAACUAAAGUGUAAACAUAAAUAAACUAAAUUUCAACUUUAAAAUAAUAUCUUUAAUUCUACUUAUAAAGUUAUAUCUUUAACUUUUAACAUAUUAUAUUAAUUUAUCAGAUUUUAAAUUUUGUUUUAUAUAAACAAUUAUCAGUUUAAAGUUACAACUUUUGAAUUAUUUGGAUAAAAUACUAAAAAUUUUAAUUUAAAUAUAAUAUUACAGUGUCAACUUAAAUAUAAAUUUCAUAAAUUAUGGUGAUAAAUACAAAACCUAAAUAGUUAAAAGUCAUAAAUCAUAGUGAUAAAUGCAAAAACUAAAUUGUAAUAUCAAUUUAACUUAUAAUAAGAAUAGUUAAAAAUAACUCUAUAUAAAUGAUUAUAUUGUUACCUUUAAAAUCAAAAAACAAUGUUUGAUGUUUUAAAUAAUUAUAAUGAUAGAAAUUAGAACAUUAAGCAAAUAAAUUUUAAAAACUUAGUUACCAAUAACAAUAACUAUAAAUAACAUUAAACCGUAUAUUAUAUUUAAUUUUAUUUAUGUGUAACUCGCGGGUAGAAGUCAUUCAAACGAUUGAGAUUGUGUAGUUAUAAUAGAUGUAUAUAUUAUCAUAUAAUUAAAAAUAAUCAAUAUAUUAUAUCAAUUUACUAUACAAAUUAUUAUAUCAAAUUUAACAACAACGUUAUUGUUAUAUUAAAAAAAAACAUACAUUUGUAAAGACGUCAACUAUAUAGGUGUUUCUGCGUAAUGCGCGAGUAUUCGUCUACUAUACUUAUUAAGGAAACAUUUUUCCAUUCACCACAUUCAUUUGAAACUCCCGUUCAUUUUUCCUUUCACCAAAUUCAUUUGAAACUCCCAUGACUUUUCAAUUUCUUUCUAAUAAUGAUUAUAAGUUGGUUAAUAAGGUUAAAAAAAUAUCAAACCUAAAGUGUAAUCUAUAUAAACUAAGUUUCAAUAUUAAAAGAAUAUAUUUUCUUCUACUUAUAAAGUUAUUUUUUAACUUUUAACAUAUUAUACUUAAUUUAUUAGGUCUAAUAUGUUGUUUUAUGUAACCAUUAUCAUUUUAAAGCUACAACUUUUGAAAAUUUUAUAUAAUAUACAUAAAUUGUUAAUUUAAGUAUAACCUUACAGGAUGAACUUAAAUAUAAAUCUUAGCUCAACUUAAACAAUCCAAAGAAUAUUUUGUAAAUAGUUAAAAGUGACAAAUUGUAGUGUGUUUCUAAUAAUGAUUAUAAGUUGGUUAAUAAAGUUAAAUAAGUAACAAACAUAAAGUGUAAUCAUAAAUAAACGAAAUUUCAAUAUUAAAAUAAUAUUUUUACUUCUACUUAUAAAGUUAUGUCUUUAACUUUUAACAUAUUAUAUUUAAUUUAUUAGAUUUAAUAUGUUGUUGUAUGUAAACCUUUAUCAAUUUAAAGCUACAACUUUGAAUAGUUUGCACAAAAUACUUUAAUUGUUAAUUUACAUAUAACCUUACAGGGUUAACUUCAAUAUAAAUUUAUGUUCCACUUAAAAAACCUAAAGAGUAUUUUGUAAAUAGUUAAAAGUGAAAAAUUGUAGUGCUAAAUGUAAAAACUAAAUUGUAAUAUUGAUUUAACUAAAAUAUUUUCUAAAGAUAUUUUUAUAAUCGUUAAAAGUUUUCAAAUAAGUAGCUAUGUAACAGCCCGGAUUUCCAGGUAUUAUUUAUUCUUGUAACUUUUGGUGAUUUGUGAGGGGACUCGACGAGUUGGAGCUCAAACUCGCCGAGUAGGAUCGCGGGUGGGAGACCUAUUUAAGAGGGCUUAUGGCCGUCAUUUGCGGCCACCAACCUCAGAGAGAACCCUAAAAAAGUCCUUGAGCAAUUUGUGAGAGAGAGGAUGUAUAUCUUUGGCUAAUUGUGGGUGUUUUUGCUCUUGAAGAGGAUCAAGCCAAGAGGAGACCAAAGGAGGUGCUAAUCUAGUGAUUUCUGAGCUCAGAGACUUCAUUUGAGGUAACCAUUCGUUUCUAUCUCAGUCCUUGGUGUAAAUCUUAGAAUUAGGGUUUCUUUGUGGAAAGAUCCAUGGAGUAAUUGGCCUCUUUUUGAUGUUGGAACCUUAGAUCUGGACCCAAAGAGGUCCAGAGACCCUUUUCCCUCAAGCUUUAUGGGUGUUAAUGGAGGCCAUGAGCCUAGAAUGGCAUUCUAGGGACCACAUCAUCAAAUAAGGCCUUUGGACCUUUUCAUGAGCACCAAGAUUGAAACUUUACGUGGUAUAUGUGCUUGGAAGGACUGGAUCUAUGGGUUUUUGGAGCGGAUCUGACCUCAGGAGUGAGUUUGAGUUCAUGCAUGGUGUGGACUCGCCGAGUCCGAAGAACAGACUCGGCGAGUAGCAUGAAGAUUGUCCUUAACCACUCUGCGAGUGGUCUUGCCGAGUUAAGGGUUGACUCAGUGAGUCAGGGAGAGUCGGAGAGGGUUGACUAGUGGACUGAGUCAAGAUGGAACUCGCCGAGUUGUUCUUGAGACUCGGCGAGUUGGGUCGUGGUAGCCCCGCGAUUCAUGCCAGGUGGAACUCGUCGAGUCAGGGAAGUACUCGACGUGCCAGGAGAGGAUCUGAGGGAGUCAAUGAACACGUAUAGACUCAUCGAGUCGCUUCGGUGCACCUGCCGAGUCCGGUUAAAGUUGACCAUUGACCAGCGUUGACCAAUGUUGACUUGAUAGGGGAAGUCAACCUUCGUUUUGAAAGUGUUAAUUAGAAGUACAUAUUGUGUUAUAGGAGGAUUAUAGCUCGAGGGAUCGAGCACGAGUGAUUUCCGGGAGUUGCGAGUUAGCGAGAUACACGAGGUGAGUCUUCUCACUAUACUUUACCUUGAGUAGGUAACCAGAGUUAUGUGACAGAGUAUUUGUAUGCUAUGUAUGUUAUGUAUGUGUUGUACUGCAUUAUUUCUAUGUGAUUUAUGUUGUGCAUGUUUACAGAGUUAGAACCUGAGGGUUCACAGAGUUUGGGUGUACGGACCUACAAAGUUAUAGCCUCGAGUGGCUAAUAUGUGUUAUAUGUGGUAUUUUGGGGAAUUCGCUAAGUUUGUGCUUACAGUGUUUGGUGUUAUAUGUUUCAGGUACUAGUGACGACCGUGGGAAGGCGCCGGCUUGAUCAGUACACACGCAUGGGAUUUCAUGAUUAUGUGAUCUUGGGAUUUUUGUAUAACUUGGAUUGAAUUUUAAACAUAGGUGUUUUAUGAUUAUUGAGGGAAUUAUGUUUUAUAAAAAUUCGAAAAAUUUGUUUCAAAAUCUACGGUGUUACAAGUUGGUAUCAGAGCCUUGGUUUGAGGGAUUCGGGUACACCUUCGGGGGGAUUUGAACUCAAACUGAGGAUUUGGAAAAUAUUUUCAAAAGAGAACCAAAAUUUUACAAAAGAAGUAAAAGAUUUUAGAGAAACUCAGAGCAGAAACGUGUGUACGAUCAGUCAGCGCCCGAACGGUAAUUUCCCAAAAUACCCUUAUAUUAUAUGUUUAUGAGAUUGAUAUAUAUUCUCUUGCUAGAGCAGGCUAGGUAUUCCUAUUAGGACUAGAGUGCCCUGAUUUGUGAUGCCUUAGCCUAGGGAGAGGUGAGCUGCUAUGAGACGCUUGAGAGUGAAUAGGUAGCAGCGAGGAGCUUAUGAGAGGUUUNAGCGGAUUGUAUAGAGUACUUGGGACUUGGAGUCCGAAGAGGAAGAUUUGGGGUGUACCCUGAAACGGUGCAGACAGUACUAUUGGGCCCGUACUACUGAAAACACCAGAGCGGUGUACAGUUCAGAUAAGAACCUUCCGAAUGCCAAGGAUCAAGGAGGGAAGGGUUGUCGAGUGUGUGUAUGCUCGAAUGGAUUCUAAUUUAUCGUAUGUUGUAUUUUAGAGGUCGAUCAUGGUGAGGACACGUCAUAUGCCAGAGAGAAGUGGGGCUAGUGAUGAGGAGAUCCGUCAGAUCAUCCACGAGGAGGUGGUUGCGCCCAUCAGGGCAGAGAUACAAGAGAUGUUCGGGUCUAUUAAGACCACACUGAUUGAGACUUUCGACGAGCAUUAUGCUGCUCUUUCUGAGGUUGCUGUUGCGGUGGCCACCGCAGCUGUUGCUGCUGCGAGGCCGCAGGGUGGUGAUGUGUUGCUGUUCCGAGAGUUUGAUGGGACCCAGGACCUGGUGGUAGCUAUGAGAUGGAUUUCUGAUAUAGACGGAUGUUUCUUCACUUGCUCAUCUCCUGAGCAUUUGAGAGUUCGGUUCGCGUUGAACCAGCUUCGCUUGGGAGCGAAGGACUGGUGGAAGUUUGUGACGAUGCACUUUACGCCUGCUGAGCUUGCGGCAGUGACCUGGGAGAGGUUCACUGCCAUGUUCCGAGACGAGUACGUUCCCCAGGUAGAGAGGGAGCAUUUGGCCCAGGAGUUUCUGACGCUCAAGCAGGGUACUGAGUUUGUUACAGUGAUUACCAGGAUGUUCCAUGAGAGGGCGAUGUUCUGCCCUGAGCACGUGUCUACGGAGCAGGCACNUCUGAGUAUCGAGGCGAGACAUUAGGGAGUUCGUGGCGAACUCCUCAUACCGGAAAUUUGCCGAGCUUCAGGCAAAUGCCUGAAAGAGGGAGAUUGAGCUAGAGACUCAGGCCAGGGAGGGAUCGGCGACCGGCACUUGUGGAAAGUGCGGCAAGGGUCAUGAUGGAGUUUGUAGAGCUCGGUCUUGCUACAAGUGUGGCAAGGAGGGCAUAUGGCCAAGGACUACCCCAAGGGGUUUGCAGUGUGUUUUCACUGCAAUAAGACCGGACACCGGAAGGCGGAGUGUCCGCAGUUGCGGGGAUCAGCUCAGGGAGCACCUCAGGGAUCUGCCCCUGCCGCCAUCAGAGCUACCGAGGUUCGGCCAGUGAAGGCCGAGGCGCCGAGGGCACGAGGGAGAGCCUUUCAGUUGACCGCGGAGGAGGUCCGCGCAGCGCCCGAUGUCGUGGCUGGUAUGUAUUCUUUCGUGUAUUUAUUUUGAUGUUGAGAUAUUAUGCUUAUAUUAUGUUAUGCGUAGGUACUUUUCUUGUGAAUUUUGUACAUGCCUUGGUGUUAUUUGACUCGGGUGCGAGUCGGUCUUUUGUAUCUUUGGCUUUUAGUCAGCAUAUCAGUAUUAGUCGUGAGGCGCUGAGUCGGCCUCUGAGGGUUUCCAUAGCUGACGAGAGGGUGAUAUAUGCCACGGAGGUGAUCCGUGGGUGCGUAUUCGAGAUUUUCGGUGUUGAGUUCCCGAUUGAUUUGAUUCCUAUUGUGAUGGGUGAUGUCUGUGUCAUUGUGGGCAUGGACUGGUUGAGUAGAUUCGGUGCGGUUAUCGACUGCGAGCGACAGCUGGUGACCAUACGAGACCCUAGUGGGGGAGUUCUUACGGUGUAUGGCGAGGGUACCCAUUCUGGAUCAGCAUUUUGUUCGGCCGCUAGGGUGAGGCAGUGUCUACAGCAGGGUUGUAAGGGUUUUGUGGCAUACGUGUCAGAUACGCGAGUUGAUUUUGAGAGGCCGAGGUCAGUGGAGGAGGUUCCGAUAGUGCGUGAGUUCCUGGAUGUCUUUCUAGAGGAAUUGUCGGGUGUGCCUCCCGUGAGGCAAGUAGAGUUUAGUAUCGAUUUGGUCCCGGGGGCCGCGCCUGUCGCUAAGGUGCCUUAUCGUCUUGCACCUCCAGAGAUGCAAGGGUUAUCCUCUCAGCUUCAGGAGCUGCUAGGGAAGGGUUUUAUUCGGCCGAGUAGCUCGCCAAGGGGAGCGCCUAUCCUAUUUGUCAAGAAGAUGGAUGGUUCACACCAGAUGUGCAUUGAUUACCGGGAGUUGAACAAGUUGACGGUUAAGAACCAUUACCCGUUGUCGAGGAUCGACGAUUUGUUUGAUCGGUUACAGGGAGCAUCUUGGUUCUCCAAGAUCGAUUUGAGGUCUGGAUAUCAUCAGGUGAGGGUGCGAGAUGAGGACAUCCAGAAGACAACGUUCAGGACGCGUUAUGGGCAUUAUGAGUUUGUGGUGAUGCCCUUUGGGCUCACCAAUGCCUCGACAGUGUUCAUGGAUCUCAUGAACCGGGUGUGCAGGCCGAUGCUGGAUCGGUCAGUGAUUGUAUUCAUCGAUGACAUCUUGGUAUAUUCGAGAUCUAGAGAGCAGCAUGAGGAGCAUUUGAGGGAGAUCCUCGGAGUUCUGAGAUCGGAGAGGCUUUAUGCCAAAUUCUCCAAGUGUGAUUUCUGGUUGCGAGAGGUCCAGUUCCUGGGUCAUCUCGUUAACCAAAAAGGGAUAUUGGUCGACCCGGCCAAAGUUGAGGCAGUGAUGAGUUGGGAGGUGCCGAGGUCACCCUCCGAGAUCAGGAGUUUCCUAGGGUUGGCAGGUUAUUAUCGGAGAUUUAUCAAGGAUUUCUCUAAGAUCGCAGUGCCACUCACCAGGUUGACCCGGAAGGGUGUCGCUUUUUCAUGGGGCCCCGAGCAGCAGGCCUUCUUUGAGACACUUCGCCAAAGGUUAUGCGAGCCCCCGGUGUUAGCCCUCCCGGAGGGAAUGGAGAACUUUGUGGUAUACUGUGAUGCGUCGAUCUUGGGGUUGGGAGCGGUGUUGAUGCAGAGGGGGCAUGUGAUAACAUAUGCAUCGAGGGAGCUGAAGCCUCAUGAGACGAGAUAUCCCACUCAUGAUCUAGAGUUGGGGGCAGUGGUGUUCGCUCUCAAGAUUUGGCGUCACUACUUGUAUGGGGUUCGGUGUACGAUAUACACGGACCAUAAGAGUUUGAAGUAUUUGAUGGAUCAGCCCAACCUAAAUAUGCGUCAGAGGAGGUGGUUGGAUGUGGUCAAGGAUUAUGAUUGUGAGAUCCUGUACCACCCAGGCAAGGCUAAUGUGGUAGCCGAUGCACUGAUCCGCAGGGCGGAGAGCACCCCGAUGUGGGAUGCAUGUUUCAGAUUGACCGUGAUAGCUCCAGUGUUGGACGCCAUUCGUGGGGCACAGGCCGAGGCUGUGCAACCCGAGAUGCAAAAGAAAGAGCGAGUUGUUGGAUUGAUUUUAGAAUUCUUCACCGAUGGUUGAGGGCUCAUGACAUUCCAGGGGCGUAUCUGGGUACCGUUUGUGGGAGGAACGCGUACCGUUUUGAUGGAGGAGGCUCAUCGGUCAAAAUUUUCGAUCCAUCCGGGGGCCACUAAGAUGUAUUUGGACCUGAGGAAAGAGUAUUGGUGGCCNNNNNNNNNNNNNNNNNNNNNNNNNNNNNNNNNNNNNNNNNNNNNNNNNNNNNNNNNNNNNNNNNNNNNNNNNNNNNNNNNNNNNNNNNNNNNNNNNNNNNNNNNNNNNNNNNNNNNNNNNNNNNNNNNNNNNNNNNNNNNNNNNNNNNNNNNNNNNNNNNNNNNNNNNNNNNNNNNNNNNNNNNNNNNNNNNNNNNNNNNNNNNNNNNNNNNNNNNNNNNNNNNNNNNNNNNNNNNNNNNNNNNNNNNNNNNNNNNNNNNNNNNNNNNNNNNNNNNNNNNNNNNNNNNNNNNNNNNNNNNNNNNNNNNNNNNNNNNNNNNNNNNNNNNNNNNNNNNNNNNNNNNNNNNNNNNNNNNNNNNNNNNNNNNNNNNNNNNNNNNNNNNNNNNNNNNNNNNNNNNNNNNNNNNNNNNNNNNNNNNNNNNNNNNNNNNNNNNNNNNNNNNNNNNNNNNNNNNNNNNNNNNNNNNNNNNNNNNNNNNNNNNNNNNNNNNNNNNNNNNNNNNNNNNNNNNNNNNNNNNNNNNNNNNNNNNNNNNNNNNNNNNNNNNNNNNNNNNNNNNNNNNNNNNNNNNNNNNNNNNNNNNNNNNNNNNNNNNNNNNNNNNNNNNNNNNNNNNNNNNNNNNNNNNNNNNNNNNNNNNNNNNNNNNNNNNNNNNNNNNNNNNNNNNNNNNNNNNNNNNNNNNNNNNNNNNNNNNNNNNNNNNNNNNNNNNNNNNNNNNNNNNNNNNNNNNNNNNNNNUACAUAGGUCAAAACAAAAUCAUCGAGGGGCCCAGAUAUCAGCUUCUAAUCCAAGAAGGAACAGAUAAACUUCGACUCAUAUGUUUGUUCUACCACUCAUUGAAUUACACACAAAAGCACGUUUUAUAACAUCGAGUUACCAAUGCGUUUUCGUACAAUCAAUGCAUAACCAACUCGUAAGUAACAAAUCAUAUCUCUAGGUUUGAAGACUUAUAUGAUAUUACCGUCUCACGAUCACUCGAGAUAAAAUUCCAUGAAGUGAUUCCAGUGAGCGUGGGUUGAGUCCAAUGCUCAGAACUUAUGAGCACUCAUGAUUGUUGUAGCCAUGUCCAACACCUUAGACCUCUGCAACCAAUCAUGACAGUCUUGAUUCAUACCUACUUCCGACAUAUGACCGACUGUGGAGGUUUGAAUAAUAUGAUAUACCAAACAUAAUUAUUCUGGAAGUCAAAACAUGCAAAAGAAAUAUAGUAAAAGAUCGACAAGAGAUAGCAACACUUUACUCAUAAAUAAAACACCUUUUAUUCAUCAUCAAAUGUCAAUUACACUUUACAAAUUUCUGGGUUAUCUAACUACUAAAACUUAUAUCAUCCUUCAGCCCUAUGCUCCGAGCAUGCUGGAGAUGCUUAACCCUACUCAGUCCCUUCGUGAGGGGAUCUGCCGGGUUCUCAUCCGAUGAUACCCUCUUCGCCAUGAGGAGUCCUUCUUCAAUUCGAUGUCUGAUAAAAUGGUAUUUUCUGUCGAUGUGUCUGGAUCUCCCGUGAUCCCUUGGUUCCUUGGCUAAGGCAACCGCACUAUUGCUGUCACAGAAAAUCUCCAUUGGCUCUUUUAUAGCUGGUACAACUCCAAGGUCUCCGAUGAAGUUCUUUAGCCAUAUAGCCUCCUUUGCUGCCUCGCUUGCUGCUAUAUACUCUGAUUCACAAGUUGAAUCUGCCACUGUCUCUUGCUUGGAACUCUUCCAAGAAAUUGCUCCUCCGUUUAGGGUAAAGACCCAGCCUGACUGAGAGCGGAAAUUAUCCCUAUCAGUCUGGAAGCUAGCAUCACUAUACCCUACAACUCUCAAGUCAUCACUCCCACCGAGGGUAAGGACCCAGUCCUUAGUCCUUCGCAGGUACUUGAGGAUAUUCUUUACCGCAGUCCAGUGUUCCUUGCCAGGGUUCCCCUGAUACCUGCUAACCAUGCUUAAAGCAAAGGCUACAUCAGGUCGAGUACACGUCAUAGCAUACAUGAUCGAUCCUACAGCUGAAGCAUAAGGUAGUCGACUCAUUUCUGCUAUCUCAGCCUCAGUGCUAGGGCUUUGUGUCUUACUCAAUCUGGCAUUACUCUGAAUGGGUAACUCACCUUUCUUGGAGUUAUGCAUGUUGAAUCUUUUCAACACUUUGUCCACAUAGGUGCUUUGACUAAGUCCAAUUAGUCUUUUACUCCUGUUUCUCAAAAUCCUUAUCCCUAGGAUAUAGGCAGCUUCACCAAGGUCCUUCAUAGCGAAACACUUCCCAAGCCAGGACUUUACUUCCUGCAGGGUUGGGAUGUCAUUUCCUAUGAGUAGUAUGUCAUCCACAUACAGUACCAAAAAACUGACUAUGCUCCCACUAGCCUUGAUAUAGACGCAAGAUUCAUCUUCACUCCUUGAAAAACCAAAUUCCUUGACUUUCUCAUCAAAGCAAAGAUUCCAUCUGCGAGGUGCCUGUUUCAAUCCAUAAAUGGAUUUCUCGAGUUUACACACUCUAUUGGGGUACUCUGUACUGACAAAACCCUCUGGCUGAACCAUGUAAACAUCCUCAGCCAACUUUCCAUUAAGGAAAGCGGUUUUGACAUCCAUUUGCCAUAUUUCAUAGUCAUGAAAUGCAGCAAUGGCUAACAGAACCCUAAUAGACUUUAUCUUGGCCACUGGUGAAAAGGUUUCAUCAUAAUCAACUCCCGGAGUUUGAGAAUAACCUUUUGCAACCAGUCGUGCCUUAUAAGUGUGUACAUUACCAUCCAUGUUGGUCUUCUUCUUGAAGAUCCAUUUGCACCCUACAGUCUUAUGACCUGGUACAUUCUCAACAAAGUUCCAAACUCGAUUGUCAUUGUAUCUCGCUAUCCAUGGCCUCUUUCCACUUGGCAGCCUUAGGGCCUGCCAUGGCUUCCGUGUAGCUGUUAGGUUCAUCCGAACCUACUAGUGUCUCAUCACUAAUAAGUGUCUCACCUACCGCAGUAAUAUGGAAACCAUAAUAAUGCUCAGGUGCAUUCCUAACUCUCGUGGAACGCCUCAGAGGUACAGGCUCGUCAAUUCGCUCAACAGGAGUUUCAACCUCAAGUUGAGGGCUAGUGUUUGAAGUUGCUUCACCACUUUACUCUUGAAUUUCUUCAAGAUCAAUUUGCCUCCCACUGUCUCCUUGGCUUAUAAAUUCUCUCUCUCGAAAGACUCCUCUUCUUGCUACAAAGACCACAUUAUCACUAGGUCUGUAGAAGAGGUAACCAAAUGAUUACUAUGGGUAGCCGAUGAAAAUACACCUCUCGCUUCGGAGGUUUGAGCUUAUCAUGAGUCUCGCGUCUCACGAAAGCCUCGCAACCCCAAAUCUUGAUGUGGUCUAGUUUAGGUACUUUACCAGUCCACAUCUCGUGAGGAGUUUUGGCAACUUUCUUUGUAGGGACAAGAUUAAGAAUAUGGGCGGCAGUCUCUAAGGCAUACCCCCAGAAUGAGAUUGGUAGCAUUGCUCGACUCAUCAUGGAACGAACCAUAUCCAACAAGGUUCGAUUACGCCUUUCAGCUACACCAUUCAACUGUGGUGUCCUGGGAGGUGUCAAUUGUGAGACAAUCCCACAUUC
This 21007-nucleotide long non-coding RNA is filed under the name Lactuca sativa (garden lettuce). RNAcentral describes it as "long non-coding RNA (LSAT_LNC010276)". The record is from RNAcentral. Lineage: Eukaryota; Viridiplantae; Streptophyta; Magnoliopsida; Asterales; Asteraceae.